UACGUAGGGUGCAAGCGUUAAUCGGAAUUACUGGGCGUAAAGCGUGCGCAGGCGGUUAUGCAAGACAGAUGUGAAAUCCCCGGGCUCAACCUGGGAACUGCAUUUGUGACUGCAUGACUAGAGUACGGCAGAGGGGGAUGGAAUUCCGCGUGUAGCAGUGAAAUGCGUAGAUAUGCGGAGGAACACCGAUGGCGAAGGCAAUCCCUGGGCCUGUACUGACGCUCAUGCACGAAAGCGUGGGGAGCAAACAGG
Molecule: ribosomal RNA, 252 nt
Filed under: uncultured bacterium
Lineage: Bacteria
Description: partial 16S ribosomal RNA
Rfam family: Bacterial small subunit ribosomal RNA
Source: RNAcentral